UGCCGGCGACACCUGCGG
RNAcentral lists this unclassified non-coding RNA (18 nucleotides) under Chlamydomonas reinhardtii. Its description in RNAcentral is "small RNA Cre_3070". Lineage: Eukaryota; Viridiplantae; Chlorophyta; Chlorophyceae; Chlamydomonadales; Chlamydomonadaceae. The record is from RNAcentral.